RNAcentral lists this ribosomal RNA (496 nucleotides) under Maribacter sp. 1S5 16. RNAcentral's name for it is "bacterial SSU rRNA". It matches the Rfam family "Bacterial small subunit ribosomal RNA", at positions 382 to 876 of the family's 1533-position model. The record is from RNAcentral. Lineage: Bacteria; Pseudomonadati; Bacteroidota; Flavobacteriia; Flavobacteriales; Flavobacteriaceae.
UCUGAUCCAGCCAUGCCGCGUGCAGGAAGAAUGCCCUAUGGGUAGUAAACUGCUUUUAUACGGGAAGAAAAAGAGCUACGUGUAGCUUACUGACGGUACCGUAAGAAUAAGGACCGGCUAACUCCGUGCCAGCAGCCGCGGUAAUACGGAGGGUCCGAGCGUUAUCCGGAAUUAUUGGGUUUAAAGGGUCCGUAGGCGGGCCGAUAAGUCAGGGGUGAAAGUCUGCCGCUCAACGGUAGAACUGCCUUUGAUACUGUCGGUCUUGAGUUAUAGUGAAGUUGCCGGAAUAUGUAGUGUAGCGGUGAAAUGCAUAGAUAUUACAUAGAACACCGAUUGCGAAGGCAGGUGACUAACUAUAUACUGACGCUGAUGGACGAAAGCGUGGGGAGCGAACAGGAUUAGAUACCCUGGUAGUCCACGCCGUAAACGAUGGAUACUAGCUGUCCGGGGCCUUGAGUUCUGGGCGGCCAAGCGAAAGUGAUAAGUUCCCACCUGG